AAGUUGACGGGGGCCCGCACAAGCGGAGGAACAUGUGGUUUAAUUCGAUGAUACGCGAGGAACCUUACCUGGGCUUAAAUGGGGAGUGACAGCUGGCGAAAGUUGGUUUUCUUCGGACACUCUUCAAGGUGCUGCAUGGUUGUCGUCAGCUCGUGCCGUGAGGUGUCGGGUUAAGUCCCAUAACGAGCGCAACCCUUACUGUUAGUUGCCAGCGGGUCAAGCCGGGAACUCUAACGGGACUGCCACCGUAAGGUGAGAGGAAGGUGGGGAUGACGUCAAAUCAGCACGGCCCUUAUGUCCAGGGCUACACACGUGUUACAAUGGUCGGUACAAAGGGCAGCUACACCGCGAGGUGAUGCUAAUCUCUAAAGCCGGUCUCAGUUCGGAUCGAAGUCUGCAACCCGACUUCGUGAAGUUGGAUUCGCUAGUAAUCGCGCAUCAGCCAUGGCGCGGUGAAUACGUUCCCGGGCCUU
RNAcentral lists this ribosomal RNA (473 nucleotides) under uncultured Sphingobacteriales bacterium. RNAcentral describes it as "bacterial SSU rRNA". It matches the Rfam family "Bacterial small subunit ribosomal RNA", at positions 910 to 1382 of the family's 1533-position model. Lineage: Bacteria; Pseudomonadati; Bacteroidota; Sphingobacteriia; Sphingobacteriales. The record is from RNAcentral.